This 2142-nucleotide long non-coding RNA is filed under the name Sarcophilus harrisii (Tasmanian devil). RNAcentral describes it as "lncRNA (ENSSHAG00000027515.1)". Lineage: Eukaryota; Metazoa; Chordata; Mammalia; Dasyuromorphia; Dasyuridae. The record is from RNAcentral.
AGAGAGAAAGGAAAAGAAAGAAAGAAAUACAGAGAGAAAGAGAGAGAAAGAAAGAAAGAGAAGAAAGAGAAGAAAGAAACAAAGAAAGAAAGAAAGAAAGAAAGAAAGAAAGAAAGAAAGAAAGAAAGAAAGAAAGAAAGAAAGAAAGAAAGAAAGAAAGGAAGGAAGGAAGGAAGAAAGACUGAGCACUUUAACCUCUCUCAAGGCACAGGGUCCAAGGGCUGGCUUGAAUUUUUUUCUUUCACUGACUUUUUAACCUGACCAAAGUGAAUUGGAGACAUUCAGCUAAAAGGUGCCACUUUAAUUAUAUAGCAGUAAGUGGGGAGGACUCACAUAGGAGAGGAAGGAAGGAAGGAAGGAAGGAAGGAAGGAAGGAAGGAAGGAAGGAAGGAAGGAAGGAAGGAAGGAAGGAAGGAAGGAAAAAAGAAGAAAGGAAGGAAAAAAAGGAAGGAAGGAAAAAAGGAAGGAAGGGAAGAAGGGAGGGAGAAAGGAAAAGAGAAAGGAAAAGAAAGAAAGAAAUACAGAGAGAAAGAGAGAGAGAGAAAGAAAGAAAGAAAGAAAGAAAGAAAGAAAGAAAGAAAGAAAGAAAGAAAGAAAGAAAAAAGAAAGAAAGACUGAGCACUUUAACCUCUCUCAAGGCACAGGGUCCAAGGGCUGGCUUGAAUUUUUUUCUUUCACUGACUUUUUAACCUGACCAAAGUGAAUUGGAGACAUUCAGCUAAAAGGUGCCACUUUAAUUAUAUAGCAGUAAGUGGGGAGGACUCACAUAGGAGAGGAUUUCUCCACCCUCCCCAACUUUCAGGGGAUCCACAUCCACCCUGGUACAACUCUAAAGGAUGCCAAUAUCCAGCAUCCCUGGAGUGGUGAUGGGCUAACAUGCUGAUUUUUCAUAUGCAAAAGCAAAUUUAGUUCCAUUUCAGUUCCCCCUCAAGGCCCUAAUUACUUUCCUUCUUUUUAACAUCGGGAAUAUCGUACAACAGAAGCAAACCAGUGCCAGUCCUUGGCCAAUCCUCCAUUAACCAAUCCUCUGUCAACAUUCCUAAGGUGAUUUCUUUGCCAGAGAAGUCACCAAGUGGUGACAUGCACAGUAUGUGCACCAUACACUGGUUUGCUCUCUAGUGAAUGAAUUUAACUGGCAGCUUCAGCAGGCAGGCAAUAAUCCCUCCCCAAAAAAAUGACUCCAGGUCAGGAAUACUGCUGUAACCACAACUUUUCCAAAACACACCAUCUGAAUAUCACAGCCAUAGAAAAGAAACAUAUUUUAUUUAAAGAAAGAGGUGCCAGAGGUCCCAUAGCUUUUGGGGGGGGAGGAACCAACAAACCAACUGUGUAAAGUACAUCACAGGUUAGAGUGGAGACCAUUACUCUGUUUUCAGCACUCUAGGUUGAUGUCAUCACUCACUGUGUAUUUCCAGUAUUGAAUUGCUUUCUUGAUCCCACCAAGACCAGAUUUAAUUUAAAGGACCAUGUUAAUUUUUUCAAAGGGAACAGGACAAUUGUACAUAAUGUAUACACACAUGCAAAAAUAAAAAAAUAAAAAACUCUGUAGACAUAUUAUUCCAGCAUAGCAGGACAAAAUCAAUCCAAAGUGUUGGACUGUCGGAGGUGAGUGUGUCUGUCUGUACUUCUUUGUGAAUACUGACUGUGUGCAGUCUAUUAGAUUUAAACCAUACAGUACAUUCUCUGUCCUAACGAUAGUAGUUCCUCCCAUUAAAAAAAAAAAACAAUCCUGCAAAUAACAAGACCCACAGAAGUGACUCUAGCUAUCUAAUUGUUCUGUUCUUUUAUACAGCAGCAAAAACGAGACUGUCCAUUUAUCAUGCGGCUGUGCUCCAAUGGCAUUUCCCAAUGAUGUUAGUGCACAAAUGCUUUCAAUUAGAAUGGAACUGCCAGGAUCCAAUGUAAAUGAAGAAUUUCUUGUAUCCUUACUGCAUGAGGUCAAUUUUUAAUAAAUUGUUGCAAAAUUUGUUUUUAUGAAUAAAAUAUAAAAAUCAGACUCUCUUUCUUAGCAUCUGGCUCUCCUCCCUUUCCUCCCUGCACUCAAGGUGAAGAAUUUUGAAGCUUACAUUCACACAGACCAUUAGAUGACAGUGUGGUCUAAUGUAAGGAGUCCAGACCAAAAAAUCAGAAGGCCUAGGCUGG